ACGGGAAUAGUUUUAAUUUUUAGCGAGAAUUUAAAUAAAUUGUCGGCAAUAGUAAAUUUUUUUUUUUGGGCGCCACCAGCUCCCGCCAGCAACUCUCUCGCUUUUUUGAAACAAAUAUAGAAUAAAUAAAAAUGCGAUAAAUGAAUCAGCAUCUUUCUUUCAUCUCUAACCUACAUCUCGUUCAUCUCUCUUUUUUUCUCUCCAUGUUAUUUAUUUAUUUAUUUAUUUUUGUUUAAGGCAAAAUCCUUUUCCACCUCAAGCAAAUCAGCAUCUCCAAAAGGUUGAAGCUAAGCAAAUCACCUGCGGGUGCUGCCGAUCUGCUGGUGUGCCCUGGUGUAAGUGUUCUGAAGGUUGCCGUUGCGGUUCUACAGAAAUGGAGGUGCGACAGAGAGAGAGAGACGAGUGGUUGGCAGCGUUUGGCAAUUUAGGUGGUUUUAUUUUCAGAGAGAGAGAGAGAGAGAGAAACUCAGGAGCGUGGUGGGGUUUACGUGUUGUGCUGUUUGGACACCGCCUUCAAUCUGUUUGGAGAAAAACCCAAACCAAAUAAAAAUCUGGAAUCCGGUCUGAUUUCUCUUUUCUCAGUUUUGGUCGUGUGGGACUCUGUAUAAUGGGGGGAGGGAUCAAUAUUAAUGCAAAAUACUUAAAAAUAAUAUAUGUGGGAUGAUUUUCUUUAUUGUUUUUACUAUUUUUAUUUUUUUUCCUUGACAGAGAUGUAAUAGUGGGCAAUAUCCUUUGAUGUUGAAUGUUAUCAUUCUUUGUGGUUCUUCCUGGUGUUUUCAUUUCAUCAACUUUAGUUGUUUUUAGGUUGGAAUAUUUGAUGCUACAAACAGUACCAAGAAAAGAAGGAAUAUGCUGAUGAAAUGGCUGAAGGAAAAUGCAAGAUUAUCUUUCUGGAAACAAUAUGCAAUGAUGAACGUAUCAUUGAAAGAAAUAUAAGUCUCAAAAUUCAACAAAGUCCUGACUAUGCAGAACAUUAUGGUUACCUUUUGAGACCAUCUAUUUAUUUCGAUUGAUAGUGAUUUGCAUACUAAUUUACUGUCCUGUUGCAGGCUAGAUUUUGAGGUUGGAUUGGCAGACUUUAAAACUUGACUAGCUAACCAUGAAAAGUGUUGCUUGGCAAUUGAUAUGACCUUUUCUCAAGAAGUAUAUAAACUAAUUACGUACAUUAGUAAAUUACACAAGCAAAUGUGCAUUAGGAUAACUUUUGGCCUUUGUUGUUCUUCUACAAACUAAGAAUGCAGAAAUAGCGUGGUAUUUGGCAAUAACGUUAAUGGAACCAUUCCAAGUGAGAUUGGUCAUUUGAAGAAUCUCAUCCGUUUGGAGCUGCAACAAAAUACACUUACAGGCCCCAUCCUAGAUUCUUUUGGGAACUUGACUGCCUUGAAGUUCUUGUGAUAUAUAUCAAAUUAAUCUUUGAUACUUAAAGCGAAAAAAGGACUUGUCUACCAAUAAUCUCACUGGAUCCAUUCCAGUAUCUCUUGGCCAGUUGGCAUCUUUACAGAACUUGAAUUUGAAGAGUAAAAUCUUACUGGCACCAUACCAACUGAGAUUCUUGGGCUUGUUCCCUUGGCUGUAAUCAGGAUCAUAGACGUUUCUAACAACAAGUUGGAUGGGAGUGUACACAACGCUACAUCAGGACUUGUUGUUACUUCGAUUGUACAAGAUCCAAAAGCCUAGAAGUGCUAGAGAUGGAGAUAAUGUGGCAUUUGCAUUUAGCUGCUUGAUACUAUUUAGGCGAUUUAAUUAAUAAAACUGAGAUUUCUAGGUCCCACUAUACAUGUCAAUAAAUCUACGUACACAUGUUCCUGAUUUUAUGUUCUUUGUCUGUAUGUAAACAAAUAAAUAUUAUGUUCAGAUUUGUUAUACAGAUAAUAAAAUUUAUAAAAAUAAAUUAUUUGUAAUA
Ziziphus jujuba (common jujube) is the source of this 1903-nucleotide long non-coding RNA. RefSeq lists it as uncharacterized. The record is from RefSeq and is a predicted model, not a curated record. NCBI's taxonomy places the organism in Eukaryota, Viridiplantae, Streptophyta, Magnoliopsida, Rosales, Rhamnaceae. The transcript has 9 exons.